Molecule: non-coding RNA, 770 nt
Organism: Cyprinodon variegatus (sheepshead minnow)
Lineage: Eukaryota; Metazoa; Chordata; Actinopteri; Cyprinodontiformes; Cyprinodontidae
Source: the annotation of a RefSeq genome assembly
CUCAUUCAUGACUCCUGUCAGAAAAGAGGAGGAGGGUCAGAUAUUUUUUUUGCUGCAUUGUUUACAGCCGCACGAGUUAAAAACGCAGAUUCAGCUCAGAAAUGAAGCUAGUUUUGAUAGUGCUUUUAUUAUUCCAUGAUUUUUCAGAUGCUGUAAAUAUUCACCAGCCUCCAUCUGAGUUGGUCAGAGAUGGAGAACAGAGUGUGACCCUCAAGUGUGAGCAGGACAGUGAUCAGAUUUACUACAUGUACUGGUACAGACAAGCAAGUAGUGGGGAAAUGGAGUUAGUGGCGUAUUCUGCUAGUAAAGAUGCAUCAAGCAUUGAAGCUCCAUUCAACAACUCUAAAUACACCAUGACCCGUCGAGAGCUGCGGAGAACUGAGCUGCAGAUUCACCCUGCUGAGGCCAAAGACUCUGCUGUGUAUUACUGUGCUUCCAGGACAGGGGGCCACGGUGAUACAACCCCAUAGAGCCGCCGUACAAAAACCUCCUUCCAUUAACAUCCAUGAUGUAGGCGAAUGAGUGGAUCUCAGAAGGCCUCAGAGAGCAGGAAAAGGGUCAAUCUGAAGGUGGGCAGGAUGGAGGCUCAGCUUGGCCUUAAAAACCGAUCUAAUAUGUAGAAUCUGGAUCAGAAACAUGUUUUAGAAAGAGAUGUUUGACUUUGUUUGUGGAGCGUUUGGAUCAUGGGUUCCUCAUCUAAAACAUUACAGCUUCUUUAAACAUUAUGAAGCUCAUCCUGCAUGUUUAACCCUCCCUGAUAAUCUGUGUUA